Molecule: long non-coding RNA, 1018 nt
Organism: Talpa occidentalis (Iberian mole)
Lineage: Eukaryota; Metazoa; Chordata; Mammalia; Eulipotyphla; Talpidae
Exons: 5
Source: RefSeq, a predicted model, not a curated record
CUUACAACUGCCAGUAUAAGCAGGUCUCAGCUGAUCUGUCGUACUCACCAGGGGAACCUAAGAAUUUCUCAUCUGAAUGAAGAGUUGUCUUCCUCCCAGAUACACAACACCCAGCGAAGAUAAAUAGAAGUGGAACGGGAGUUAUGAUGCUCGCAACAGCUCUGCCCCAGUCCACAUAAUGGAACUGGAUUCAUAACGCCUUUCGAAAAUGAGUUCUGGGAGCCAUCCAUUUCCCUCUGCGUGCAGCAUUUGCCCAGCACGCCUCACCGAAGUUACGGCAAUGACCUCCUCACUGGUCUCCUCAUCUGCUCUUGACGCUCUGCAACCAGUUCCUGCACAGCAGCCAACAGCAGCCACUAUCCACAGAAAUACCCACUGCUAUAGGGUUCCAGUGCCUCCAGCACUGGGCACACCCUGGGGAACAAAAUUGAUGCCUGCCUUCGAGGUGCUUAUGUUCCAGCAGGAGAGAGAAGGACGGUAACAACAAAGGUGUUUACUCUGUGCCAAGCACUGGCCUGGGUGCCAGGGCACCAUGGAGAACAGGACGGACAAGGUCCCUAUCCUAUGGGAGUCAUAAACAGAAAGCAAAUAAAGAAGAUAACUUCAGAUGAUGAUAUGCUGAUGAUAUGCCAUUCCGAAGACGAAACAGGGCAGUGUGGCUGCAAGUGGUGAGAGGGUGGGGCACCUUCAGCCUGGAUGGCCAGGGAGGCCACAUUUCAGGAAAUGACUUUUGAGCUGAGAAGGAGUCAGUUCUAUGUCUGGGAGAAAGAGCGCAGCCAAAGAGCAAGUGCAUAGCCCCUGAAGUAGGACUGACCUUGAACUAUUUGAACUGAACCUUGAACCAGAAAGGCAGACUGUAUGGCGGGAGCCAAGCGGGCUGCUUCUCCAGCUAGAUUGGCAGCCCCAGAAGGCCCAGGACCCCUGUGUUUUCUUUGCAGCUACAUCCAUUGUGCUUGCUCACUCACAGUUGACACUCCUUGCAUUGGUUGAACGAAGGAGUAACUAUUUCAGUUUUGUC